Long non-coding RNA from Mustela erminea (ermine), 333 nucleotides. RefSeq lists it as uncharacterized. The transcript has 3 exons. NCBI's taxonomy places the organism in Eukaryota, Metazoa, Chordata, Mammalia, Carnivora, Mustelidae. The record is from RefSeq and is a predicted model, not a curated record.
ACGGCUAAAGCAAAACUUGUCUACAGAAGGACCCUGGAAUGUUUUCAGUUUGGAAUAAUUGUUAAUACAGCCACUCUAAACAUUCACGUAUGGAUUUUGAGAGGGCAUAUAUGUUUGUUUAUCUAAGUGUAACCUUAACAUCGAAGACCCAAGAGCCUGUUUCUACAGAAUAAAAUCACAUUUGAAUUUAUGGACAAAAUCGUGGACUUCUGCUGAAGGAGAAGAUCGGCUUCUGAGAAAGUUUUGUAUAUGUUUCGAGGAAAUUAUUCUAUACUGUAGUAUUUUCACAACUACCACCGUUUUCAAGGCUACCACUGAGUUGAAGUAUGGGGG